Molecule: non-coding RNA, 29 nt
Filed under: Cricetulus griseus (Chinese hamster)
Lineage: Eukaryota; Metazoa; Chordata; Mammalia; Rodentia; Cricetidae
Source: RNAcentral
GCCAUAGGGAAUAUUGUCACUGGAACAGA